AUUGAACGCUGGCGGAAUGCUUUACACAUGCAAGUCGAGCGGCAGCGCGGGGCAACCUGGCGGCGAGCGGCGAACGGGUGAGUAAUACAUCGGAACGUGCCCCAGACGUGGGGGAUAACUACUCGAAAGAGUAGCUAAUACCGCAUACGAUCUAAGGAUGAAAGCGGGGGAUCGCAAGACCUCGCGCGUUUGGAGCGGCCGAUGGCAGAUUAGGUAGUUGGUGGGGUAAAGGCUUACCAAGCCUGCGAUCUGUAGCUGGUCUGAGAGGACGACCAGCCACACUGGGACUGAGACACGGCCCAGACUCCUACGGGAGGCAGCAGUGGGGAAUUUUGGACAAUGGGCGAAAGCCUGAUCCAGCCAUUCCGCGUGCAGGAUGAAGCCUCGGGUUGUAAACUGCUUUGUACAGAACGAAAAAGACUCUGGUUAAUACCUGGAGUCCAUGACGGUACUGUAAGAAUAAGCACCGGCUAACUACGUGCCAGCAGCCGCGGUAAUACGUAGGUGCAA
This 510-nucleotide ribosomal RNA is filed under the name uncultured bacterium. RNAcentral describes it as "bacterial SSU rRNA". It matches the Rfam family "Bacterial small subunit ribosomal RNA", at positions 30 to 537 of the family's 1533-position model. The record is from RNAcentral.